Etheostoma cragini (Arkansas darter) is the source of this 557-nucleotide long non-coding RNA. RefSeq lists it as uncharacterized. NCBI's taxonomy places the organism in Eukaryota, Metazoa, Chordata, Actinopteri, Perciformes, Percidae. The record is from RefSeq and is a predicted model, not a curated record. The transcript is spliced from 3 exons.
AGAUGAAUCUGUUACACAAACAAGAAAGCAUUCCGUUACAGGGCAUGUGUCUGGAAUCCCUGUCCAGCUGGAUGGGUCUAACGCAAGCUCAGCCUGUCACUUCAACUUGGGACCCAGUUGACGGUACAUUGGCUUUGAAUUUUUCCAGUUAAAUACAAUUGCAUGACAAGGAACUUGAGAGAAACUUUAACUUUUUUGUUGUUCUUAACAGCAGAACAUUAUCACAAAAAUAGGGCGGUGGCUCAGCAAUGGAGACAGAAAUGAGAGCCAUGAGGACACCCGUUACCCACAUGGCACAGCGGAUGGAUACAUUUGAGGAGAAGAUGGAUGAGCUGCUCAUGCUCUUCAGGAGCUCCCUGUCACCUUCUUCUGCUCCAAGUCAAAGUGUGCCAUUUUCCCAACAGCAGCUGGGUCAAAUAUCCAGUUAAAAAAAUAUGGCUGUACAGGUAACCUAUUGCUGCUAUACUAUAUGUUCAUAAAUAAUUCUCUCUGUAUGGAAAUGCUUUUCUUUUUCUUUUUUUGCGCUACUGGAUCAAAAAUGUUCUCUUAAAAUAGAU